Molecule: small nuclear RNA, 129 nt
Filed under: Salvator merianae (Argentine black and white tegu)
Lineage: Eukaryota; Metazoa; Chordata; Lepidosauria; Squamata; Teiidae
Description: U1 spliceosomal RNA (ENSSMRG00000002047.1)
Rfam family: U1 spliceosomal RNA
About the family: U1 is a small nuclear RNA (snRNA) component of the spliceosome (involved in pre-mRNA splicing).
Source: Rfam by way of RNAcentral
AUACUUACCUGGCAGGGGAGACACCUUGAUCAUGAAGGAGGUUUUCCCAGGGUGAGGCUCAGCCAUUGCUCUCCGGCUGUGCUGACCCCUGCGAUUUCCCCAAAUGUGGGGACUGCGUGCGUGCUUUCC